CAGCUUUCUGUCCUCGCCCAUGUUCGGCUGGGAAGGGGCGCUGAGCUGGACGGGGAGCUUCAGCGUAAAACGACCGGCCUUGCCGCCGCGGAAACCAACCUUGCCGCCGCGGAAGCCGACCUUGCUGCUGCGAAGGUCACCAUUGAGGCCGUGAAGACCGAGUUGGACGCCGUCAAGCGCGAGCGUGACCGUCUGGCUGACGACUUGCGCCGUUCUGCGGAGGAAGAGAAAGCUCGGGCAGACGCCGCGCAGGCCUCUUUUAUCGAGGAGUUUAUUCCCGACUUCAAGAAUCGCUUGGCCGGUAUGCAAGCGGAUCACGCCGUACUGCUAGCCGACUCGAAGCGUCUCGGCUUCUGGAAGGGUUACGUGCACGGGCGCAAGAUGUGUUCGCUUGUUUACCCGCCCCUUUCGCGCGCCGUGGUGCCUCGGAGCUGCAAAGAGUUUGCCGAUUGGGAAGAGAACGGCGCCCCUUCCUUUCAACCUCCCGUGGACGUGAGCGAUAGCGAGGAGAAGGACCUCGAGGCUGACUUCCCCGACUACGUGGACCCUCCCCUUGACUAGUCGGCCCGUAGCGUGUGUUUUUUUUUUUUUUCGUACGGGAGGAACAAUACUUAACUUUUUCCUGCAUUGUAAUAAUACUUAACUUUUUCCUGCUCUUUUACUUACUUGUUUUCUCUCGCUUUUUGUUCGGCCGUCGAUCCGUCUGCCUUCUCCUUACGCUUUCGUUUCCCUGCUUAUCCGUCGCUUUCGCCCCCUUUCUUCCUUCAACCGUUUUUUUCCUUAGAG
Molecule: long non-coding RNA, 786 nt
Filed under: Zostera marina
Lineage: Eukaryota; Viridiplantae; Streptophyta; Magnoliopsida; Alismatales; Zosteraceae
Description: long non-coding RNA (ZMAR_LNC002231)
Source: RNAcentral